GCCCCCGUGGUGGAAUGGCAGACACUCGUGACUUAAAAUCACGUUCCAUUAGGAGUCCUGGUUCGAAUCCAGGCGGGGGCACCA
Molecule: transfer RNA, 84 nt
Filed under: Anaerolineales bacterium
Lineage: Bacteria; Bacillati; Chloroflexota; Anaerolineae; Anaerolineales
Description: tRNA-Leu
Rfam family: tRNA
About the family: Transfer RNA (tRNA) molecules are approximately 80 nucleotides in length. Their secondary structure includes four short double-helical elements and three loops (D, anti-codon, and T loops).
Source: RNAcentral